GGCGGCCGCCUCCAGGCGCGGUGGCCGAAACUGCCGCCCGCCCGCCCGCGCCGCCGCGCCUCGCUCCGAAACUUGGGCAGGAACUUAUCCCCGUCCUCCCAGCGCGCAGGGACGCCUGUGCUGGGCGCGACAGGUUGUAGACGCGAUCCCGGCAGAUCGCCUUCGCCCCCGAUCCUGGCACAGAUAGGGCUGCUUGCUGCCUUGCUGAUUGGCCAGAACCUGCCUAAACUUGAAAGUUUAGUGUUUCUUCCACAGAGACCCUUAAAUCCAGCCGCUUUUGCCCGAUAGCUGCAGUCUCUCUCCACAGCUUUAUUGGGAUUUUUAUUUUAAGCUGUAUGUAAUGGGAUAUGUGUCAGAGUAAACACAUUUCGAUAGAUGUCUCUGAGAAUGCAAGCUUCAUGAAAUCAGGAUGUUCAGUGAUGUCUCCUUGGUGGCCGAAAUACUGGACUAGCAUGUGCAGAGUGGAUGCCCAGUGUUUCUUAAAUGAAUGUUUCUUUUCAUGUUGCUGUCAUGAAAUAUCCUGACAAAAGCAACUAAAGGAGAAAGGAUUUGGUGUAACUCACAACUCAAGGAACAAGUUGUUGUUAAUUUAUGAGCCAUUGCAGGGGCCCAUAAUGUGUCCAUACACUGAUCUGUGGUGUGACUAUGCUGUCUCCUACUCCGAUCUUUCUGAGCCUGGAAGAAGAUUGAGUCUCCUGUCUAUUGAGAAUGAUGGGCCUGUUUGAGGAAUAUCACUGAAAGAGAGCUGUAAUACAUGCACGGCUCUCAGACGAGACCUGCACAUGGCAGAUUAAACAUGCACUCCACAGAGGUUAAAACUCAGAAGCCUAUGUGGUGGCUAUGCCUUUCAUCUCAAUGCCUUGCAAGUGAAGACAGGAGAAUCAGGAGAUCAAGAUCACCUUCAGCUAUAUAGUAAGUUUGAGGACAGCCUGGGCUACAUGAGACCCUGUCUCAAAAAUGAAAUUAACUCCAAGAAAAAUCAAGAUUUAGAAGGCAUCAGGUCACCUUCAGACACUGCUCUAGCCUGACUACCCAGAGAAGCAAACCAAGGAAGUGAUGGGACAGGAAUAUGUAUCAGUGAGAAACAAGUGUGAGUCAUGAGCAGGAAUUUUGAGUUAAUAGAACUUACCCAGAGGAUUUUAACAGUUACUCGUGAAGGAUGAGGCCAAAUUAAGAGCUGAGGAGGAGCGUGCAGCUGGUGGAAGCAGGGGGCUAACCUUGUCAAACCCACUCAUGCUAGCUGUGUGUCUUGUUACCUUUAAAACUCAUGGCAAGGGAUUAUUGCUGUCUCAUUUUUAAAACAGAGAUUAAUACUUCAUGUUUCAUUUGCCUGUGAGCCCUCUGCUAUUACCUGGCAAGCCAAUUUGAAUUUAGAAAUUUCUGAGUCAAAACGUACUCCUUUUUCUACUCUACUCCCACAGCCCCAUUCUGAGUUCUGUGAGUUAAUGUGCCUUUCGAAUGCUUGGUUAAAAGCUCCUUUCCCUUUCCUUUUCUCCCAUGUGGAGAUUGCUUGUCUCUCCAACUUAACAACCUUUCUCUCUUACUUAAGGGGAGAUAAGUACUUGAGCCCAAUAAAGUUGGUUUCUGCUCAGUUGUAGAAUUCUUACCCAGAGUUCGGUCCUAACACAAACAAACUUCUUCUCUUGAUUGUAAACUGCUAACUUCACACAUUUGUUGAAAUUUUCUUAUUGAUUAACUUGAUAUUAUCCAUUGAGCCAAACUGAUCAGAGGAUUGAGUAGCAUGGAUAUCAACAUGACCUGUGUAUUUCUGCCUCAUGUCCAUGAACCACUGCUUAAUGCUGGAUAUACUGUACCCUAAGGAGAUAGAGUCUUGCUUACAACUUGUCCUGUGUUCUCAAUGAAUAACGAAUGAGCUGCAUUUUCUUCAACUUUGCUCCCUCAGGAGCCUAGAAUUUUCUACUUUCCCAGAUCAUGGCAUUUCCCACCAGACAACAAUCAUAUUGAUAAAUCUAUCCUUUGGCCAACCCAUCCUCUUUCUCUUGAGGCUAGUCCCCAGUCCUUAAACCAUCCUCUACAACCAGGAGCUCAGGCUGUCUGUGAGCCGGGCUCCAUCACCGCACAAAGACAUGGCCCUGUGGUCUGUCAUUAUCAGGAAGAACAAAUCAGAAAGCAUUGAACUUAUGUUCAGUCAAGUCUGAUCACACUGUCUUUCUCUUACUAGUUUAUCAAUCACUUUUAGUUUAAACCAGUUGCCUAGAAACAUUUUUGUUGUUAUUUUGAGGCAGGGUUUCUCUAUGUUUCUCUGGCUGUCCUAGAACAUGCUAUAUAUAUCAGGCUGGUCUCAAACUCACAGAGAUCUGCUUGCCUCUGUCUUUAAUGCUGUUAUGAAAAGUGUUAGCUGGCCUCAGAAACAUUCAUUUAUUGCUCAGUUAUUCUCAUUCAUUUGUUUCUUCUGUUUCUUAAAGGUUCUAAGACUUUGAAUUACAAGAAAGCCAUCAAGGAAGAGACUUUUGUUUUCCUUGCUAAACACAUAAAAAUAAAAUAAAUAUCAAGUGUUUCUCAGUGUUAUUUAUGUUAGUCUUAAAAAUGAAUGAAUGAAUGACUUUUUUUUUAAAAAAAGACAAUCUAAGCAGCAUUUGCAGGCUGUCCUAUGUCACAUGUAGCCCAGCACAGUUUUCCAGAAGAUUCCUAGAGAAUGAAAACAACAGAUAAAAAUCACAAAAUGAAGAAACAGGAGCCACUUGUGGUCAUCCACACUAGCCACAGAGCGAGACAGGCUUCCAGACAGGCUGCAUUGGGCUCCUUUUUCAGUGAAACUAUAAAAGGACAGAAAUAACACAUUUUAUAAAAGUGAUACAAAAAGCUUUUUGUCAUUUACACUAUUAAAGAAAAAAUGAGUUUGCAAAAUCCCAAAAUAAUAAAUACUGCAAAAUCUGUCAAAUCACCAAGUGAAACUCUUCAAGUAGAGUACUCUGUUGGUACAUAGCUAUGGAAAUACAGUUGUGGAGCCUCUCUCCCCAGACAGAUCUCAGCAGAGCCACUGUGUCAGCUCUCCAGUUGAGGAACAGUGGUCCAAAGUUGUUUCUUAACUGGCCUUUUCCUGUUUAGGAUCAUGCAAGCCAUCUGCUAGGACUGUUUUGAACUGGUUCACAAGAUCAAUUGUUAAAUUUUUAUUAUUCUUCUAGAUGAUUUUCUGCUGUGUAAUAUUUUGUGUUCUGACAAAUAAAGCUUGCUUGGAGUCAAGAGGGUAGAGUUAGCCACUAGUUAACCAUAGAGGUCUGGAGGUCUGUAUACAGAGGCACAGUAAGUGAUAAGGCGGGGCAGAGAUAGAAUCAUGGCCCUUUUGGUUGGAGGAUCCAGAGAGGUAGGAAGUGACUGUGGGUGCUCCCUUACUUCUCUGAUCCUUCAGGUUUUAACCGAUAUCUGACUCCUGGUUUUUACUGAUAAGAUUAAUUAGGUUUAUGUUUCAAUUUUCUAAUACAAUGACUAAAAUUAAAAUAAGUCAGGUGCAGAAGUACAUGGCUAUCAUCCCAGGAGGUAGGAAGCAGAGUCAGGAACAUGAAGAGUUAAAAGCCAGCCUUGGCUACAUUAGCAAGUUAGAGACCAACCCAGGUUACAAGAGACCCAUUCUCUGAAAACAAAAAACAGGAAAGAAUAAAUAAAAUUAAAGUACAUAAACUUACAAUUAAUAAGUUACAUAUAAAUGUAACAAACACUGCAAAACCUUCCCUUCAUAAUUAUUUUACUACUCUGUGAGGUUAGCUUGAGUUCACCGUUGGCUGCUCUAUGGGGAAGCGCUUUGAGGACUGUGCUGGAGCAGAAAGCAAAGCUGAAGGUUCUCCAGUUGGGAAAGUUAUCAGGAAAUGCACAGUGAAUUUAAAAGUUUCCACGACGAACGUUUACAUCAGGAGUAUCACCAGAGACUGAACUACCUCCAAGUGUCGGCCCCCAUGCUGCAGCUCGGGAAGAUAGUGCUCCCACUACUGACAAGAUAAAGCCCUGGCAACUCACCUGCUAAUGGAAAAGAAAACAGCAGACAACAUUCAUCUUUGUCAAAUACUUUCUGUCACUUUUAGCUACAUAUUAAGAAUGCAGAAGUUCAGCAAAAGUCAGCAAAAGCAUUAGAAGUCACGGAACAAUGCACAAGAUAUUAUUUUGGGUGCCAUUUGUUGUAUCAAUAAAACACAUUUUAAGUUUA
This is a non-coding RNA of Peromyscus maniculatus bairdii (prairie deer mouse), 4159 nucleotides long. The record is from RefSeq and is a predicted model, not a curated record. Lineage: Eukaryota; Metazoa; Chordata; Mammalia; Rodentia; Cricetidae.